RNAcentral lists this ribosomal RNA (506 nucleotides) under uncultured bacterium. RNAcentral describes it as "partial 16S ribosomal RNA". It matches the Rfam family "Bacterial small subunit ribosomal RNA", at positions 29 to 523 of the family's 1533-position model. The record is from RNAcentral.
AGUGAACGCUGGCGGUAGGCCUAACACAUGCAAGUCGAACGGCAGCACAGAGGAGCUUGCUCCUUGGGUGGCGAGUGGCGGACGGGUGAGGAAUACAUCGGAAUCUACUCUGUCGUGGGGGAUAACGUAGGGAAACUUACGCUAAUACCGCAUACGACCUACGGGUGAAAGCAGGGGACCUUCGGGCCUUGCGCGAUUGAAUGAGCCGAUGUCGGAUUAGCUAGUUGGCGGGGUAAAGGCCCACCAAGGCGACGAUCCGUAGCUGGUCUGAGAGGAUGAUCAGCCACACUGGAACUGAGACACGGUCCAGACUCCUACGGGAGGCAGCAGUGGGGAAUAUUGGACAAUGGGCGCAAGCCUGAUCCAGCCAUACCGCGUGGGUGAAGAAGGCCUUCGGGUUGUAAAGCCCUUUUGUUGGGAAAGAAAUCCAGCUGGCUAAUACCCGGUUGGGAUGACGGUACCCAAAGAAUAAGCACCGACCAACUUCGUGCCAGCCGCCGCAGUAA